Molecule: ribosomal RNA, 253 nt
Filed under: uncultured bacterium
Lineage: Bacteria
Description: partial 16S ribosomal RNA
Rfam family: Bacterial small subunit ribosomal RNA
Source: RNAcentral
UACGAAGGGUGCAAGCGUUACUCGGAAUUACUGGGCGUAAAGCGUGCGUAGACGGCUAUCUAAGUCGGGUGUGAAAGCCCCGGGCUCAACCUGGGAAUUGCAUUCGAGACUGAAUAGCUAGGGUACGGUAGAGGGAAGUGGAAUUUCCGGUGUAGCGGUGAAAUGCGUAGAUAUCGGAAGGAACAUCAGUGGCGAAAGCGACUUCCUGGACCAGUACCGACGUUCAGGCACGAAAGCGUGGGGAGCAAACAGG